Molecule: long non-coding RNA, 430 nt
Filed under: Volvox carteri
Lineage: Eukaryota; Viridiplantae; Chlorophyta; Chlorophyceae; Chlamydomonadales; Volvocaceae
Description: long non-coding RNA (VCAR_LNC003514)
Source: RNAcentral
UCUACACGUGCUACCGCCUGCUUGCAAAACACCCCCUCGCGCUUGCCGGCGUCCUAACUAGCCGGUCAGUUCGCGUUUAGACUAGCCGUCUUCUCCUGCAGUCGGGCCAUCUGCUCCUGCAGGUGGCGAAGGCAGUCCUUCUUGUGCUCUUCCCAAGUCUGGUUCGCCGGUUUGAGGCGAGAGCACAUCCGACACUUGAGAGGAGUACCGGACGUGGACGUCCGCGGUUUCUUCGCACGAACCGUUUCCCAGGCCUGUUUGGAAGGGGACCGAGGGCGAGAUUGCUUAGGGCGAGAGGAGGAAGUAAUCUUCGACGGGCCAGCUUGCGUAGUAACUACAGCAAGCUGUGCUUUGUCCUUUCCGGCUUUCCACCGAACCUCCUGACCGCUAGCAUACAGGAUUAGCUUCUCUAAAUCCUGCCAGUCUUUGC